AGGGCCCACAUACACUGAAAAAAAUGGACUUGGUGGGUCUUUGAAUUUAAAUAAAAUAAACAUGUAUAUGCAACACAAAAUAUUUAUAUUCCUUGUGUAAACAUAAUUUAAUUGAUUAGGAUGAAAAUGUUUUGUUUGAAUGUAAAAUGAACACAUUAUUCUCACAUUGAUUAAAAUUUAUUGAAUUGAAUACUUAAAGCAAUAAAAUUGAGUUUGCACACAAAAUGGCACCUCCUGAGCAGAAGGUGGCAGUAACGCUCAAUAAAAAGGACGUCAAUCGCCAUAAAAGAAGAAUAAACAUCGUUUGUUUUGGGCGCCAAAAUGAAGACUCAGCAGCAGUCAGUCAGAAGAACUCCCUCAGACGGACACCACGUUAUUAAAGUCCAUCAUCCUUGCAUGCGCUACACUCAAAAGCAUUGAUAAAUGCUGAAUUUAAAAGAAUCACUACUGUCUUAUGUUCCUGCGUGUCACCUGGACCUCCAAUCCAAAAACCUGACGAAACUCUUCUAUCAGAAAGGAGGACAGCUAGCAAACAGACUUCAAACAAUGAAUGAUCAAAUGACAGAAGGCAUGAAUGAAGUCAGCAUCAGUGUGGUCAUUUGAAGACACCAAUGUUGGGAUUUGUGCUCUCAAACAACAUGCUUCUUGUGAUGAAGAAGAGGAUCUUUGUAUAGUCCUGGAAGGCAUGAAGGUGUUGCAACAUCGUGCCAUGUUGUUUGAGCUGAUGUAUGCCUUAAACCUGAGCUAUCCUGAUCUCUGCUUUAUUUUUGAGGAACUGCUAGAUUUUAAUGGAACUGCAUUGAGCGUAACUUUAACGAACAGUUUCUUUCAGUGAAAGGAUCAGAAAGACUGUGCUGCUCAUUUUUGUUAUCUGUUUUAAGUGUUUUUUCUUAUUAAAACAUUAACCGUUUGCUGCUCAGAGUUGAUUUUGGAAAUGGUUGUUGUAUUUUGUUUUUGUUGAAUCUUUGAUUAUCAGUUUAUACAAAUGCUGUAGCUCUGACUUUCUGAAGGAUUGAUAUUUUCCAGUUUGUAAAUCCAUUUAAAAAAUAAUAGUACUUACUGUUUUGCAUGUCUCU
Long non-coding RNA from Paramisgurnus dabryanus, 1076 nucleotides. RefSeq lists it as uncharacterized. NCBI's taxonomy places the organism in Eukaryota, Metazoa, Chordata, Actinopteri, Cypriniformes, Cobitidae. The record is from RefSeq and is a predicted model, not a curated record.